CUCUUGAGAGCGGCGGACGGGUGAGUAAUGCCUAGGAAUCUGCCUGGUAGUGGGGGAUAACGUUCGGAAACGGACGCUAAUACCGCAUACGUCCUACGGGAGAAAGCAGGGGACCUUCGGGCCUUGCGCUAUCAGAUGAGCCUAGGUCGGAUUAGCUAGUUGGUGAGGUAAUGGCUCACCAAGGCGACGAUCCGUAACUGGUCUGAGAGGAUGAUCAGUCACACUGGAACUGAGACACGGUCCAGACUCCUACGGGAGGCAGCAGUGGGGAAUAUUGGACAAUGGGCGAAAGCCUGAUCCAGCCAUGCCGCGUGUGUGAAGAAGGUCUUCGGAUUGUAAAGCACUUUAAGUUGGGAGGAAGGGCAGUAAAUUAAUACUUUGCUGUUUUGACGUUACCGACAGAAUAAGCACCGGCUAACUCUGUGCCAGCAGCCGCGGUAAUACAGAGGGUGCAAGCGUUAAUCGGAAUUACUGGGCGUAAAGCGCGCGUAGGUGGUUUGUUAAGUUGGAUGUGAAAUCCCCGGGCUCAACCUGGGAACUGCAUUCAAAACUGACUGACUAGAGUAUGGUAGAGGGUGGUGGAAUUUCCUGUGUAGCGGUGAAAUGCGUAGAUAUAGGAAGGAACACCAGUGGCGAAGGCGACCAC
RNAcentral lists this ribosomal RNA (646 nucleotides) under uncultured Pseudomonas sp. RNAcentral describes it as "bacterial SSU rRNA". It matches the Rfam family "Bacterial small subunit ribosomal RNA", at positions 86 to 728 of the family's 1533-position model. Lineage: Bacteria; Pseudomonadati; Pseudomonadota; Gammaproteobacteria; Pseudomonadales; Pseudomonadaceae. The record is from RNAcentral.